RNAcentral lists this ribosomal RNA (335 nucleotides) under uncultured Bacillota bacterium. RNAcentral's name for it is "bacterial SSU rRNA". It matches the Rfam family "Bacterial small subunit ribosomal RNA", at positions 28 to 351 of the family's 1533-position model. Lineage: Bacteria; Bacillati; Bacillota. The record is from RNAcentral.
GACGAACGCUGGCGGCGUGCCUAAUACAUGCAAGUCGAGCGGAUAGAUAAGGAGCUUGCUCCUUUGAAGUCAGCGGCGGACGGGUGAGUAACACGUGGGCAACCUGCCUAUAAGACUGGGAUAACUCCGGGAAACCGGAGCUAAUACCGGAUAAUUCACAUCUACUCAUGUAGAUGUGCUGAAAGACGGUUUACGCUGUCACUUAUAGAUGGGCCCGCGGCGCAUUAGCUAGUUGGUGAGGUAACGGCUCACCAAGGCCACGAUGCGUAGCCGACCUGAGAGGGUGAUCGGCCACACUGGGACUGAGACACGGCCCAGACUCCUACGGGAGGCUG